AGAGGUGGCGAGCGUUGUUCGGAUUUAUUGGGCGUAAAGCGAACGCAGGUGGUUUGGUAAGUCAGAGGUGAAAGCCCACAGCUUAACUGUGGCACUGCCUUUGAUACUGCCUUUCUUGAGUACAUGAGGGGGAAGCGGAAUUCCGAGUGUAGAGGUGAAAUUCGUAGAUAUUCGGAGGAACACCGGUGGCGAAGGCGGCUUCCUGGCAUGUAACUGACACUCAUGUUCGAAAGCGUGGGUAGCAAACAGGAUUAGAUACCCUGGUAGUCCACGCCCUAAACGAUGGGCACUAGGUGUGGGAGGUAUCGACCCCUUCCGUGCCGCAGCUAACGCAUUAAGUGCCCCGCCUGGGGAGUACGGCCGCAAGGUUG
Molecule: ribosomal RNA, 371 nt
Filed under: uncultured bacterium
Lineage: Bacteria
Description: bacterial SSU rRNA
Rfam family: Bacterial small subunit ribosomal RNA
Source: RNAcentral